RNA transcript from Eucalyptus grandis, 1024 nucleotides. It is a transcript of the gene named insulin-degrading enzyme-like 1, peroxisomal, with no coding region annotated. Lineage: Eukaryota; Viridiplantae; Streptophyta; Magnoliopsida; Myrtales; Myrtaceae. The transcript is spliced from 2 exons. The record is from RefSeq and is a predicted model, not a curated record.
UUAUUGCAAGGCAUGAAGCCUUCCACCAGCUCAGAACAGUUGAGCAACUUGGUUAUGUCUGUUUGCUCACACAUCGGUAAAACCAUUUCAUUUCUCCUUUCUUCUCCCCAGAUAUGACUUCGGUGUGCAUGGCCUGCAGUUCACUGUUCUGUCUACUGUGAAGGUAUACCACAAGGUUCUCUGUGUUCUGACUGCCUCAUCACCUUUAACUCCUUCACUUUGUUAAUCUUAAUUACAUCGACACAUGGGUCCAGAGCUUUCUUGAGUCUUUCGAAAGUAAACUCCUUAAGAUGAGUGAGGUUGAUUUCAAGGUGAGUUGUUUCUCCCGUGUUCCAUCAUGAGAAUUAUGUUAGCUUGUCAAAUAAUCUUUAAACCAUUACAUCGAGCCUGCAGAAUUUCUGCCUAUGACAGAGCCAUUUAAACACACUAAUUGAAUCAAAGAUGGAGAAGGACAAGAAUUUGUGGGAAGAAUCUGAGCGUCACUGGAAAGAGAUAAUUGAUAGAACUUUCCUAUUUGAUCGAAUAGAAACUGAGGCACAUACGAAUUGGAGCGCCCAAGAGGAAGGUGCUUAGCGUAUGAGUUUAUGGGAGCAAGCAUUCGUCAAAUUUUGAAGUGGAUAACAAUGAAGCAGUUGGACCAAACACAGUAUGAAUAGAUGACAUUUUCAGCUUCAGGGCAUCGUAACCUCUUUACGGUUCACAUAGAAGAGGGUAUGAACAUAUGGAAGUUCACAGCAGUUCUAAAUAAGCUAGAAAUGAGGAUCUUGGAUAAUGUACUCCUGAAAUUUUUCUCCAAAAUCUAUACUACUACGCCACACCAACCCUGUGGCAUUUGUACCUUAUAGCGUUUUAGUGUUUGGUGUGUGUAAAUGACUAAAGGUAUUACUUGGGAUUUUACUAGACAACGGAACACAAGAAUAGGUGUUUGCUCCAGCUCAAUGUUCCUAACCAAGUGAGUAAAACUGCUGGUGCUGGAGUUAGGGUGUAAUGCAUAUACAGAUCUAUACCAUUGAGAGUUUCAUAG